AAAAAAGGAAAGAGGGAUCUGAAUUUUGAGAGAGAACCGGCAGGAGAGAAAGGGAGAAAGAAGAAGAAGAAGAGAAAAGAGGGGAAAAUAAGGGAAAAGGAAGAGAUUGGAAGAAAUAAGUUUAAAGAUAAUCCUGAUAUUCUACCGGCGGGACGUCAGUAGGAUUUUCUUCGAUAUCAGCUUUGAGUUUUGUUGCUUUCGAGUCAGGAGAAGCUGAUGAGGACCCAGGUAGACCAGAAAAAAAGCAGAAAAGGGAACAGCAGCCAAGAAUCGGCAGCGGCAGAAAUUCCAGCGGCUAGGUCGGUGCAAGGAGUCCUUGCGGGAGGAGGAAUUUCGGCAGCUAUAAGUCGGCUACCAGAGACAGUUUUCUUGUGUAAACUGGAAAGGAAGAAAAGGAAGUUUUUUCCAAGGAAAAAGGAGAAGAAAAGUACAGAUUUAAGAGCUUUAUAUGUGGCGGAAACAGCAUUGAAGUCAUCAACUCAACCUGGCAGAACUAGGUCUCUGAGUUGAGGAGUCCUGAGUUCUAAUUAGAAUUAUGUUAGUUUAUAUCUUAGAUUAGAUUAGGCUUUAUCUUUAUUAGUUAUUUUCAAGUAAAUUACUUGUUAGACGAGGAAGUAAGGCUAUAUAAUGUAGGAGAUUUUUUUUUGUGUUAAUCUAUAUAAUUUUUUUUUUUA
Populus nigra (black poplar) is the source of this 674-nucleotide long non-coding RNA. RefSeq lists it as uncharacterized. The transcript is spliced from 3 exons. The record is from RefSeq and is a predicted model, not a curated record. Lineage: Eukaryota; Viridiplantae; Streptophyta; Magnoliopsida; Malpighiales; Salicaceae.